Molecule: non-coding RNA, 1949 nt
Organism: Myodes glareolus (Bank vole)
Lineage: Eukaryota; Metazoa; Chordata; Mammalia; Rodentia; Cricetidae
Source: RefSeq, a predicted model, not a curated record
GGAGGCGGCGGCGCACACCGUUAAUCCAGCACUCAGGAUGGGUGGAGGCGGCGGCGCACACCGUUAAUCCAGCACUCAGGAGGCAGUGACAGAUGGAUCUCUGUCCUGUGAUGGUGGAGAGGAAGCCAUGUUCUGGGAACCACUGCUGUGAUGAGCGAUGAAGCAUUGCUCUCUGGGAAAGGUUACCCAUUGGAGAAAGAAGAAUCAUACUCCCCAACAACAGACCAACCACUUACUGCAAGCAAGGCCAAGUGCCAGGGGGCACGAGGAUGCUCUGGUUCCUUCCUCCACCAGUCAUGGGGCUUAAGAGAUGCCAAAAGACUAAGAUGGGACCAGUAAUACAAAUUGAAAACCCUGUGAUCUGAUGGCCUUGGUUUCAGCGUCUGCACCUCAGAAGAGCACACCAAUAUAGUAGUUGCCUGCUAGAUUUCAAGAAUAAGAAGAGCGCACACAUCCUUCCACUGGACUGAAAAUGCAAGGCUUAAGUGGGGUGCAGAUUACCUAGUGAGACCCAGUGGGCCACACCCCACCCUGAAGAUGUCUCGAGGCCUCUUUCCGCUUUCCUCAGGUGUUCAUCAUCAAUCAGAGCAGGAGUGCACGUGGAAGAAGUGACUUCCUCAAACCUCACAAGCAGAACCCUCGGGCACUGCCCGUCUCUCCAGGGCCUCUGGAGGAAAGGCUGCUACUGUGUGCUGGCAGGUGACAGAUAACACACAGUUUGGACUCUAGAAAGCCCCCCCCCCCCCGGCUUUACUAAAUUGCUUUCCUCUGGCACUUUGUUUGAAAGCCCAUAAACAGCUGUCUUUCUAACAAGCACUGAGAGCGCACGCUCACAGAAAAGAGAAAUGGUUCCUGGGGUGAAGCACUAACUCCAUUCACACAGGUCAUGGCCUUCUGUGUACACUGUGACGUCAGCUGAAAUGCGGGCCACAGCCCAAAUGCACGGCCGUAUUGGUGAGAUUCUGGUGAGGUGGGGGCAGUUCUCCCCAAUGCACUGCAGCUGCACAGAAGUCCUGGAAGGUGGCUGGUUCUUAGCCAAGUACAGACUGAGAAGACGGCCUGGUGGGAACCGCAGCAGAGCAUUCCCUGGACAGCUGAUCCAGGAGUUACCUAAGGGAAAUGUUUCCUGCCUAAUGGGUGGCACUUUCAUGAAACCAGGAGCCAAAUGCAAUGGUAGAAGGUCACAGCGGGCACAGUCUUCCUUCAGUUAUGCCCCGAGAAGCAGCUGCUUUGCAUGCGUGACCGCAUGACUGCAUACGUGCAUGCAUGAAAGCACAGUUUGCCUAUCAGUGGAUUGAGUCCUGAAGGGUAUAUAAAAUCUGCACCAAUGUUUUCUGCUGGUUGCUUUAGAUAGGAAGGAAGGUGCUAGGAAGGAAUAGUCAGAAUAGAAGAAGAAAGAAAGGAAAGAAAGGAGAAAGAAAGAGAGAGAGGGAGGGAGAAAAGGAGGCAGAGUGUAGGAAGGAAAGAGGGGGACAGGAAGGAGGCAGGUGAAAAAAGAUAGAUGUAUACUCCAUCAAGAACCAAGUUGCCUCACCUGUAGACUCAUCAAGCCCAUGAAGAAACUGAUGAGAGAUUUAGGCAACACAUUAUAAAAUGGUGGUGUGGCUAACUGAGGCAACUUCCUGUGUGGGGAAAGGAUCUCACAGCGACUUUGGACACAGCCCUAAGGAAGCGGUUUGCUGGUGGUACCUGUAAUCUCUGCAGGUUUUCACUGUGUUCAUAAUGCUUUUAAAUUGACAAAAAUCAAAAGCAAUGGUGGUGUGUGUGUGUGUGUGUGUGUGUGUGUGUGUGUGGUGUGGUGUGCACGUUACCUAAUAGUUUAUGUGAGCAUUGUCAACUGCAUGGCUGAUUUAUUCCAUGCUUGACCCACGAUAACAAUACAUGUUAAAUAAAGUCAAUCUAAAUGCAGUUCCAAAACCUACUGAAAAGAAAAUACUAAACACACACAC